This 3776-nucleotide long non-coding RNA is filed under the name Homo sapiens (human). Its description in RNAcentral is "non-protein coding TPT1-AS1:65". Lineage: Eukaryota; Metazoa; Chordata; Mammalia; Primates; Hominidae. The record is from RNAcentral.
GAUUACAGGCACGCGCCACCACUCCCAGGUAUGUUUUAGAUUUAUGUAUGUAUGAAUGUACUAGAUCCCACAUAUAUUUCUUCCUGUGGUUAUAAGUCAAGUGUUUUGAAAUCCAUUGACUUGGGCAAAUUUUCUUUUCAAAUAUAUUACUUGGCACCAUAAACUCUUCAAUUUCAGCAAAUGAUUUUUUUAAAUGACCCCAGUGUUUUGUGAAUACUUAUAUUUGACUCUAGCUCAUUUGAACAAUUUUUGCCAGAAAGAGAAAACAGCCAAAUGGAGAUCUGGCUUGCUGUGUAGGGGCUGAGAGAAGUGUGAUCAUUCUGACCCUCUAUUAGCAGGAAACUGCUCAACAGUCACAUCUUGAAAGUAACUUGAGGCAACUGCAGGAGGGCUGCAUGGCGGGAAAGAAAUUGCUGAAAACAGGCUGGGUGAGCUGGCUCGUACCUGUGAUCCCAACACUUUGGGAAGUGAAGUUGGGCGGAUCACUUGAGGGUCUUACUCUGUGACCCACGCUGGAGUGCAAUGGCACCAUCACGACUUACUGAAGCCUCCACUUCCCGGGCUCAAGUGAUUCUCACACCUCAGCCUCCUGAGUAGCUGAGACCACAGGCUCCGGUAGAUUGCAAAUGACCUGCUUUCUUUCUGUUCCCGGGCGUUUGGACCCCUGUCUUGGACCGCUGUCGGAUAGUAAAUCCCAAGUAAGGUACCUGCCGUCGGCAGAUUUGAGCUUUCUUCUUGGACACCUAAUACCCAGAGUCCUCCAGGCUCCGGUAGAUUGCAAAUGACCUGCUUUCUUUCUGUUCCCGGGCGGCAUCGGACCCGUCGGAGAGUAAAUCCCAAGUAAGGUACCUGCCGUUGGCAGAUUUGAGCUUUCUUCUUGGACACCUAAUACCCACAGUCCUCCAGGCUCCGGUAGAUUGCAAAUGACCUGCUUUCUUUCUGUUCCCGGGUGGCAUCGACCCGUCGGAGAGUAAAUCCCAAGUAAGGUACCUGCCGUUGGCAGAUUUGAGCUUUCUUCUUGGACACCUAAUACCCACAGUCCUCCAGUAAAUCCCAAGCAAGGUACCUGCCGUCAGCAGAUUUGAGCUUUCUUCUUGGACACCUAAUACCCACAGUCCUCCAGGCUCCGGUAGAUUGCAAAUGACCUGCUUUCUUUCUGUUCCCGGGCUGCGUUCGGACCCCUGUCGGAUAGUAACUCCCAAAAAAACAAACAAAGACAUGGAUUUACUGUGCAUAUUAGCAGAUCCAUACUGGAAAAUGCAUGGAGGUUUCAUAUACACCACUUACAGGUUUCCAAAGCCACAAUUUCCUUCAUAUGUUCAAACUCUUCAGGAUGCAGAAAGGCAGUGAACUCCUCCGGAGUAGCUGUCAGGUCACCAUUGAGGUCUGCAGCUUUGAAUCUUCUCUCAUCACGUGGCAGCAUCUUUUUAAAGGUGUGAUGAUCUGAAGAAUCAUGAAACUCUGCGGGGUUUCCUAGGUUUUCAGCUCCUCAGUAGUGACAAAGCCAUACCCAUCAUUGUCGAUUCGAUCAACAAUCUUCCCUAGCCUCUCCUUGCUCUCGUCCGGGGUGAGCUCGUCGAAGUUCUUGGAGUCCUCCUUGCCCAGGAAGGCCUCGUGGUCGUACUGGAAGCUCUGGUUGUCCUCAGGGGGCCGCUCGCCCAGCUCCGAGUCGGGCCGCACCACGCGCUCUUUGCGCACCGUGGGCUUGGCCCGCAGAACCCGCGGCGCCAGCACCAGCGCCAGCAGCAGCCCCAGGGCUAACCCCAGGCGGCCACCGCGCGCCAUCGUCCCGAGGAGAGGGCGGCCGGGAGGGAGACGCUGAGCGAGCGACAACAGCGGCAGCUCGGGAAUGGGGGCUCGGAGCGCGGCGGCCAAGUUUUAUGUUAUGUAUAUUUUACAAGUAAAAAAAUUUUUUCACCUCAGCCUGAACUGAACACUAGCUGACAGACGUUUUGAUUUCUUUGACCAUCACGGAAUCGUGGCCAAGCGCGGUGGCUCACAUCUGUAAUCCCAACACUUUGGGAGGUCAAGAUGGGCGGAUUGCUUGAAUCCAGGUGUUUGAGAUCAGCCUGGGCAACAUGACAAAACCCUGUUUCUAGUAAAAAUACAAAAAUUAACCAGGCUCAAGCCAUGACCAUGCACCAUUGCACUCCAGCCUAGGCGACAGAGCAGGACCCUGUCUCAAAAAAAAAAAAAAAAAAAAAAAAAAAAAAGAAGAAGAAAUCUCAGCAGGCUGAGAUGGAACUCAUUCUUCUCAUGAAGAACGUGGCAAGCAUUAUACAGAGGGGCCAUAGUCUGGAAAGCAGGAGAUGCUUACAGACAUAUAAGUUGUUUCCAGUGUUUUGCUCUUGGUACUCAUGGUUCCACUAUUUACAUCAACCUUUUGAGAAACAUAUUUAUACACUGUCUUAUACUUCCCUCCUUUGCUACAGAAUGAAUCUACUUGUAACCUACCAAAAAUUUACCCUGUCACAUUUCCCCAGCUGCUGGUUUAAAAAUAAAUAUCCUGGAUUUAAAGCCAAUUGUGUCUAACAGGUGCCACCAUCCAAGUGAGGAUUUCACUGUUCACAGGCAUUUGAGACACACCAGCGGCCGGCGGUUCUCACUGCUCUUCAUAUGGAGGCAACCAUAUAUGGGUAAGUCAUUUAGUCUCUUAGGUAGGCGAACUGAGGCCAAUCUCCCCACUUUUAGGGCUGUGAAACUGUUCUGUAUGAUACAAUAAUGGUGGAUAUGCGUCACUAUACAUUCGUCCAAAUCCACAGAAUGUACAACACCAAGAGUGAACCCUACUGUAAACUAUGGACUCUGAGUGACAAUGAUGCAUCAAAUAGGUUCAUCAGUUGUAAUAAAUGCACUGCUCUGGUGCAGAAUGUUGAUGAUGGAGGAGACAGGGGUACAUGGGAAUCUCCGUACCUUCCAUUCAAUUUUGCUAAAACUACUCUAAAAAAUAAAAUUAAAGAAAAAAAAAAGCUCCCCUCUUUCCCCAGUUUUACGAUUUAUUUAUGCUUUGUGAAAUGGAGUCUCACUCUUGACUCCCAGGCUGGAGUGCAGUGAUCUCAGCUCAAUGCAACCUCCACCUCCCGGGUUCAAGAGAUUCUCCUGCUUCAGCCUCCUGAGAGGCUGGGAUUACAGGCGCAUGGCACCAUGCCCAGCUAAUUUUUGUAUUUUUAGUAGAGAUGGGGUUUCACUAUGUUGGCCAGGCCAGUCUCGAGCUCCUGAACUCAAGUGAUCUACCGUACCCGGCCCCCAAUGUUAGUUUUUAAAUAAACGACUAUGUUUAAUUCACAUGCUAACAGGCACCUAGAGAAUACUUUCAAGUAAAAAGAUUAAUGAACCCACUUCGCAUUGAGUUAGCUGGUUGUUUUCUGCCAACCAGGUGUCCCUGCCUGGUCCACAGUUGACCAAGGAUCCCUGCAUCUGCCUCUAGCAACACCCAACACUGUAUGAAGGGCUGAGGGGGUCUGACAGUUCACGUCACUGACAUCCUCUCACUGGUAUUUCGAAUGCCAAGCCAGCCCUCAAAUCAAGUUCACUGGCCUCGACUGAGCUGCCAAGUAUUUCAUACAUGGGGAGGGGGGUUGGGGGGGGGGAGGGUAGGGGGAUCACACAGGUGCCAGGCAAUGAGUAAGAUUAUCCCAGCAACUUCUCCAUGCAGAGAGAAAUGUCUGCAGCUGCAACACUAUUUCUACUCCAGCCUUCUAGACUCCAUGUAGUUUGCCUUUGUUUGAAUGUUUCUAUUUAUCUGAAAUAACCAGAAAUCAUUUUUAUUAUUAUAU